Molecule: ribosomal RNA, 476 nt
Filed under: uncultured organism
Description: partial 16S ribosomal RNA
Rfam family: Bacterial small subunit ribosomal RNA
Source: RNAcentral
ACACUCCUACGGGAGGCAGCAGUGGGGAAUUUUGGACAAUGGGCGAAAGCCUGAUCCAGCCAUGCCGCGUGCAGGAUGAAGGCCUUCGGGUUGUAAACUGCUUUUGUACGGAACGAAACGGCCUUUUCUAAUAAAGAGGGCUAAUGACGGUACCGUAAGAAUAAGCACCGGCUAACUACGUGCCAGCAGCCGCGGUAAUACGUAGGGUGCAAGCGUUAAUCGGAAUUACUGGGCGUAAAGCGUGCGCAGGCGGUUAUGUAAGACAGUUGUGAAAUCCCCGGGCUCAACCUGGGAACUGCAUCUGUGACUGCAUAGCUAGAGUACGGUAGAGGGGGAUGGAAUUCCGCGUGUAGCAGUGAAAUGCGUAGAUAUGCGGAGGAACACCGAUGGCGAAGGCAAUCCCCUGGACCUGUACUGACGCUCAUGCACGAAAGCGUGGGGAGCAAACAGGAUUAGAAACCCCUGUAGUCCCAUGA